Molecule: ribosomal RNA, 467 nt
Filed under: uncultured bacterium
Lineage: Bacteria
Description: partial 16S ribosomal RNA
Rfam family: Bacterial small subunit ribosomal RNA
Source: RNAcentral
GACGAACGCUGGCGGCGUGCUUAACACAUGCAAGUCGAACGGAAAGGCCCUGCUUUUGUGGGGUGCUCGAGUGGCGAACGGGUGAGUAACACGUGAGUAACCUGCCCUUGACUUUGGGAUAACUUCAGGAAACUGGGGCUAAUACCGGUUAGGAGCUCCUGCUGCAUGGUGGGGGUUGGAAAGUUUCGGCGGUUGGGGAUGGACUCGCGGCUUAUCAGCUUGUUGGUGGGGUAGUGGCUUACCAAGGCUUUGACGGGUAGCCGGCCUGAGAGGGUGACCGGCCACAUUGGGACUGAGAUACGGCCCAGACUCCUACGGGAGGCAGCAGUGGGGAAUAUUGCACAAUGGGCGGAAGCCGGAUGCAGCAACGCCGCGUGCGGGAUGACGGCCUUCGGGUGGUAAGCCGCUUUCGCCUGGGACGAAGCGUGAGUGACGGUAAUGGGUAAAGAAGCACCGGCUAACUACGU